This 948-nucleotide ribosomal RNA is filed under the name Sheathia arcuata. RNAcentral's name for it is "eukaryotic LSU rRNA". The stretch from base 239 to 391 matches the Rfam family "5.8S ribosomal RNA". Lineage: Eukaryota; Rhodophyta; Florideophyceae; Batrachospermales; Batrachospermaceae. The record is from RNAcentral.
UGUUUAUAAAACAGCUUUCUAGAGGGGGUUGCUAUGUGGGUGGUGCGCGCGCUUUCGGGCGAGUGUGCUUUUUCGCAUGCAAUUCUUUCUAGGAGGCUACAACCAUUCCGGUGACCAUUCUAUACCUUUUCCGCAAAAUGGUGCGCGAGCCUUUCGAGGUAAGCCACUGUUUUGUAUAUACUAUUUUAUCUAAAACCCACCAUGAAAAACCACAACAGAAAUGAAACCAAGAAAAUAAAACUCGUGACGGAGGAUAUCUUGGCUCCCACAUCGAUGAAGAACGCAGCGAAAUGCGAUACGUAGUGUGAAUUGCAGAACACGUGAGUCAUCGAAUCUUUGAACGCAAGUGGUGCUCGCGGGCAAUCCUGCGAGCAUGUCUGUUUGAGUGUCCGCACAAAUUACUCGCACCCUUUUGUUCUUUUUGCUUUGGAAUUUAUUCCGAGGUAGGAAGUGAGAAAGGGGGCGGCGAUUGGGUUUUUAAUCUGCUUCACUGCGGAAGACCCGGAAAGCAGUGCUUGGAAAAUGGUACGGGGGUUUCGGCUCUUCGUGUCCUUCAUCUAGCGCGGAAACCAGUGUUUAAAACCAGCAAGCAAUGCGUGGUGCUUUUGUAGCGUCCGCUGCGCUGAGAAGAAAGGAAGUCUGGACGGGAUCAACGUUUCGGAGCUCUCUGCUGGGAAGUAACUACAUUCCAGGGGGGCGACGAGAUUGUGGAUGUUUUGUGCCAAACUGCCAUGAAAAAACUUUUCGGGGCACACGGCGGGAAUAGUCCGGCUGGAGGAGGAGUUCAUUUCAUAUGGACGCAUUCUGUGGUUGGAAUUCUGCGGUGUAAAAGGCGGUGCGUGAAGGGGUGCUGUACACUACAUGCGCAGUGCGUCACUGGCGGACUUUAUUUUUUGGAUCUCAAAUCAGGCAAGACUACCCGCUGAACUUAAGCAUAUGGAUCCCGGG